This is a long non-coding RNA of Ailuropoda melanoleuca (giant panda), 634 nucleotides long. RefSeq lists it as uncharacterized. The transcript has 4 exons. The record is from RefSeq and is a predicted model, not a curated record. NCBI's taxonomy places the organism in Eukaryota, Metazoa, Chordata, Mammalia, Carnivora, Ursidae.
GCAGCAAGGCGAGGCUCCCGCGUUGGCGAGCCUUUUCAUCCUGCCCCUCCCCUGCGGGUCCUCGCCCAGUGCCCGCUUACCCCAGCAAAGUAAUAGUUUCCUUGUAGUUUAUGAUGUAAGAAAACUGCUUUCAAAAAGUGCCUGCUCCCUGCAAAACUGAUAUGGAAGAAAUACUAAUAAGGUCAGUCGGGGUGAAAAAAUAAUGUAUACUCAACUCAGGCCAAGAGUUCCUCCUACUUCAGUGGCUGAUCCAUAAACGUGAGGUGCCUUUGGAACAUCCGUGUGUCAGCAUCAAGUUUGCUGCUGUAAAUGUUUGUCUGAAACUCAUGAAAGAGGGAUCUGCAGGGUUGGAAGGCCUGAUAAGGGGCACUCUUGCCAUUGGACACAGUGAACUACAAGCUGUGGCUGCUACCUGGACAUCUUGGAUUCCUGCGUCUAGGGGCCAGCAGACAAGAAGAGUCACCAUCUUGGCACAGGUCAUUGUCCCUGAUCAGCAAAUGGAGGAUCAACUCCUGUUACAUCAUGGGGACAGGGAAGAUUAUGUGUAGAAUUCAGGUGACCCACAUGGGAACUUCUCUACCCAAAUCCCAACUAUGGGGUUCCAAAAGGAGCAACCAUGCUCUUCUAUGUCCUG